GAAUAAAACAUAAACAGUCGUUAUAUUCUCUAUACCAGAGGGUUAUUAGUGCAACCUGGAAGUAUGUUAUACAUGUGUUUGUUUCAGUCAGAACACUCGUCAUAAAAACAUCUUGAUUAAUCUUUGUUUUAUGUUAACCUUGCCUUUUCUUUUUGAAUUGUAGCUCCAUGCCACUUUGAUGAAUGUAAGACAUAGAAAAAGAAAUAUGAGGACUGAAAGAGUUGAUUCUUUUGAUGCACGAGGUAUAUUUAAGAAGUAUGGCAAAGAAGAUUGGGGCGAAUAUGUAAUUCCAGAAGCACAUCUUUCUCAGAGAUUUCUUUAUGAUGAAAGUGGAUACUACCAUUGCUGUUGCUCGAUACCCUUUCCUGUAGCAUCGAAAUUCAGUGGUUUCUAAGGCUGUUGAGUCAGGUGAAACAUUUCUAUAUUUGAAAAAUAGACUUCUAUAGUUUUCUAUUUUAGUUUCUUGCCACCCUUAAGUGUGUAAGUGCGAUCAAGCUUCAUUUCUUUGAUACAGAACAGACAAAAAGUUUAAUCUAAUGAUUUGGCAUUGGAAUUUGCAUACUAUCAA
Molecule: long non-coding RNA, 568 nt
Organism: Phalaenopsis equestris
Lineage: Eukaryota; Viridiplantae; Streptophyta; Magnoliopsida; Asparagales; Orchidaceae
Exons: 2
Source: RefSeq, a predicted model, not a curated record